UAAUCCCAGCACUUUGGGAGACUGUGGCCAGC
RNAcentral lists this non-coding RNA (32 nucleotides) under Homo sapiens (human). The record is from RNAcentral. Lineage: Eukaryota; Metazoa; Chordata; Mammalia; Primates; Hominidae.